GCAGAUAUGGCGGAAUUGGUAGACGCGCCACCUUGAGGGGGUGGUGCCUUAGGGCGUGAGAGUUCGAGUCUCUCUAUCUGCACCA
This 85-nucleotide transfer RNA is filed under the name Colwellia sp. RNAcentral describes it as "tRNA-Leu". It matches the Rfam family "tRNA". From Rfam's summary of the family: Transfer RNA (tRNA) molecules are approximately 80 nucleotides in length. Their secondary structure includes four short double-helical elements and three loops (D, anti-codon, and T loops). RNAcentral also lists the same sequence under 11 other names. Lineage: Bacteria; Pseudomonadati; Pseudomonadota; Gammaproteobacteria; Alteromonadales; Colwelliaceae. The record is from RNAcentral.